GCCCAGGUGGCGGAAUGGCAGACGCAGCGGACUUAAAAUCCGCUUACCGCAAGGUAGUGUGGGUUCGAGUCCCUCCCUGGGCACCA
This 86-nucleotide transfer RNA is filed under the name SAR202 cluster bacterium Casp-Chloro-G4. RNAcentral describes it as "tRNA-Leu". It matches the Rfam family "tRNA". Rfam says of the family: Transfer RNA (tRNA) molecules are approximately 80 nucleotides in length. RNAcentral also lists the same sequence under 1 other name. The record is from RNAcentral. Lineage: Bacteria; Bacillati; Chloroflexota; Dehalococcoidia.